Molecule: ribosomal RNA, 30 nt
Filed under: Allium paradoxum
Lineage: Eukaryota; Viridiplantae; Streptophyta; Magnoliopsida; Asparagales; Amaryllidaceae
Description: partial 18S ribosomal RNA
Source: RNAcentral
UUCCGUAGGUGACCUGCGGAAGGAUCAUUG